This 492-nucleotide ribosomal RNA is filed under the name uncultured bacterium. RNAcentral describes it as "partial 16S ribosomal RNA". It matches the Rfam family "Bacterial small subunit ribosomal RNA", at positions 29 to 507 of the family's 1533-position model. The record is from RNAcentral.
AGUGAACGCUGGCGGUAGGCCUAACACAUGCAAGUCGAACGGCAGCACAGUAAGAGCUUGCUCUUACGGGUGGCGAGUGGCGGACGGGUGAGGAAUACAUCGGAAUCUACUUUUUCGUGGGGGAUAACGUAGGGAAACUUACGCUAAUACCGCAUACGACCUACGGGUGAAAGCAGGGGAUCUUCGGACCUUGCGCGAUUGAAUGAGCCGAUGUCGGAUUAGCUAGUUGGCGGGGUAAAGGCCCACCAAGGCGACGAUCCGUAGCUGGUCUGAGAGGAUGAUCAGCCACACUGGAACUGAGACACGGUCCAGACUCCUACGGGAGGCAGCAGUGGGGAAUAUUGGACAAUGGGCGCAAGCCUGAUCCAGCCAUACCGCGUGGGUGAAGAAGGCCUUCGGGUUGUAAAGCCCUCUUGCUGGGAAAGAAAAGCAGCAGGUUAAUACCCCGCUGUUCUGACGGUACCCAAAGAAUAAGCACCGGCUAACUUCGUG